GGAAACCGUUUGCAAGUAAACAGAUGGACCCACGAAGUUCCUGUUGAGUGAGAGAUUCACAUACUUUUGAAGGCGAAUGAGAAUAGUGUAUCCCUUCGGGGUUUAGCUAUGAUCAUUGCAGUCAACAAAAUGAUGCAUUUCUCUUGCUCACGUUGGAGCUCUGACUGCUCAUUGAAUGUAAUUGGUUGCUUGAGUAAAUGAUAUAGUUUCUUCGGGAACUAAACUUAUUUACUUGGGUGUAUGAAUUAACAUUUUGAUGAGUAGGUGAAUUACUUACAAUUGUAGGUGUUCAGAUCAUGAGCUAUGGUAGUGAUGUUAAGUGGCUGUUGUAUUGGGUUGUUCUUGACUUGUGCUUGAAAACUCAUUACAUAUCAACACUUGCAAACUUUCAUUCACUCAUACUCAUUGAUGAUCCAGAGUAAGUAGGUCGGUCAUCCAUCUGACCCGUCUUGAAACACGGACCAAGGAGCCCAACAUUUAUGCGAGUCGCACGGUCUUGAAUAGGCCUGUGAGGCGAAAUAAACAUAAUGGUGUGACCUCUGACGCUUGCGUUUGAGAGCAACACCAACCUGUUCAUACUUGCUCUGUAAGUUGAACGGCGUUUGAGCAUAAAUGUUGGUACCCGAAAGAUGGUGAACUAUACUUGGGCAAGACGAAGCCAGAGGAAACUCUGGGUGGGAGGUCUGUAGCGANUUCUGACGUGCAAAUCGAUCGUCAGACCUGAGUAUAGGGGGCGAAAGACUAAUCGAACCAUCUAGUAGCUGGUUCCUUCCGAAGUUC
RNAcentral lists this ribosomal RNA (780 nucleotides) under Torrenticola manni. RNAcentral describes it as "eukaryotic LSU rRNA". It matches the Rfam family "Eukaryotic large subunit ribosomal RNA", at positions 400 to 969 of the family's 3401-position model. Lineage: Eukaryota; Metazoa; Arthropoda; Arachnida; Trombidiformes; Torrenticolidae. The record is from RNAcentral.